AGUGGCGAACGGGUGAGUAAUACAUAAGCAACCUACCCACGAAGACUGGGAUAAUCUCUGGAAACGGGGACUAAUACCGGAUAGGUAAUCGGAAGGCAUCUUCUGGUUAUUAAAGGUUAAAAACACUGGUGGAUGGGCUUAUGGCGCAUUAGUUAGUUGGUGAGGUAACGGCCCACCAAGACGAUGAUGUGUAGCCGGCCUGAGAGGGUGAACGGCCACAUUGGGACUGAGACACGGCCCAG
This 242-nucleotide ribosomal RNA is filed under the name uncultured bacterium. RNAcentral describes it as "partial 16S ribosomal RNA". It matches the Rfam family "Bacterial small subunit ribosomal RNA", at positions 94 to 334 of the family's 1533-position model. The record is from RNAcentral.